CAGAAAAUAGUUUAUAAAAAUAUUAAUUUUGGAGAUUAAAGAUGAGGGUUCUCUUUUCUGA
This 61-nucleotide transfer RNA is filed under the name Phloiophilus edwardsi. Its description in RNAcentral is "tRNA-Pro". The record is from RNAcentral. Lineage: Eukaryota; Metazoa; Arthropoda; Insecta; Coleoptera; Phloiophilidae.